GACGAACGCUGGCGGCGUGCCUAGUACAUGCAAGUCGAACGCAUUUUCUUUCACCGUAGCUUGCUACACCGAAAGAAAAUGAGUGGCGAACGGGUGAGUAACACGUGGGUAACCUGCCCAUCAGCGGGGGAUAACACUUGGAAACAGGUGCUAAUACCGCAUAAUUCCAUUUACUGCAUGGUAGAUGGAUGAAAGGCGCUUUUGCGUCACUGAUGGAUGGACCCGCGGUGCAUUAGCUAGUUGGUGGGAUAACGGCCUACCAAGGCUGCGAUGCAUAGCCGACCUGAGAGGGUGAUCGGCCACACUGGGACUGAGACACGGCCCAGACUCCUACGGGAGGCAGCAGUAGGGAAUCUUCGGCAAUGGACGCAAGUCUGACCGAGCAACGCCGCGUGAGUGAAGAAGGUUUUCGGAUCGUAAAACUCUGUUGUUAGAAAAGAACAAGGAUGAGAGUGGAAAGUUCAUCCCUUGACGGUAUCUAACCAGAAAGCCACGGCUAACUACGUG
RNAcentral lists this ribosomal RNA (507 nucleotides) under uncultured bacterium. Its description in RNAcentral is "partial 16S ribosomal RNA". It matches the Rfam family "Bacterial small subunit ribosomal RNA", at positions 28 to 507 of the family's 1533-position model. The record is from RNAcentral.